GACGAACGCUGGCGGCGCGCCUAACACAUGCAAGUCGAGGGAGAAGCCACCUUCGGGUGGUGGAGACCGGCGAACGGGUGAGUAACACGUGAGGAACCUGCCCUGCAGUCUGGAAUAACCGCGGGAAACUGCGGCUAAUGCCAGAUAAUCUCGUAGCUCCGCAUGGAGCAUCGAGGAAAGCUCCGGCGCUGCAGGAUGGCCUCGCGGCCUAUCAGCUUGUUGGUGGGGUAACGGCCCACCAAGGCUACGACGGGUAGCUGGCGUGAGAGCGCGAUCAGCCACACUGGGACUGAGACACGGCCCAGACUCCUACGGGAGGCAGCA
This 324-nucleotide ribosomal RNA is filed under the name uncultured bacterium. RNAcentral's name for it is "bacterial SSU rRNA". It matches the Rfam family "Bacterial small subunit ribosomal RNA", at positions 28 to 353 of the family's 1533-position model. The record is from RNAcentral.